Small nuclear RNA from Cynocephalus volans (Philippine flying lemur), 102 nucleotides. The record is from RefSeq and is a predicted model, not a curated record. NCBI's taxonomy places the organism in Eukaryota, Metazoa, Chordata, Mammalia, Dermoptera, Cynocephalidae.
GUGCUUGUUUCAGCAGCACAUAUAAAGCUGGAACUACAGAGAAGAUUAGCAUGGCCCCUGCACAAGAAUGACAUGCAAAUUCAUGAAGUGUUCCAUAUCUCU